GCACAAGCGGUGGAGCAUGUGGUUUAAUUCGAAGCAACGCGAAGAACCUUACCAGGUCUUGACAUCCCUGACAACCCGAGAGAUCGGGCGUUCCCCGUUCGGGGGGACAGGGUGACAGGUGGUGCAUGGUUGUCGUCAGCUCGUGUCGUGAGAUGUUGGGUUAAGUCCCGCAACGAGCGCAACCCUCGACCUUAGUUGCCAGCAUUCAGUUGGGCACUCUAAGGUGACUGCCGGCUAAAAGUCGGAGGAAGUGGGGAUGACGUCAAAUCAUCAUGCCCCUUAUGACCUGGGCUACACACGUGCUACAAUGGGCGGUACAAAGGGUCGCGAACCCGCGAGGGGGAGCCAAUCCCAAAAAGCCGCUCUCAGUUCGGAUUGCAGGCUGCAAUUCGCCUGCAUGAAGUCGGAAUCGCUAGUAAUCGCAGGUCAGCAUACUGCGGUGAAUACGUUCCCGGGCCUU
RNAcentral lists this ribosomal RNA (460 nucleotides) under uncultured Anoxybacillus sp. RNAcentral describes it as "bacterial SSU rRNA". It matches the Rfam family "Bacterial small subunit ribosomal RNA", at positions 923 to 1382 of the family's 1533-position model. Lineage: Bacteria; Bacillati; Bacillota; Bacilli; Caryophanales; Anoxybacillaceae. The record is from RNAcentral.